GACGAACGCUGGCGGCGCGCCUAACACAUGCAAGUCGAACGAGCGAGAGAGAGCUUGCUUUCUCGAGCGAGUGGCGAACGGGUGAGUAACGCGUGAGGAACCUGCCUCAAAGAGGGGGACAACAGUUGGAAACGACUGCUAAUACCGCAUAAGCCCACGACUCGGCAUCGGGUAGAGGGAAAAGGAGCAAUCCGCUUUGAGAUGGCCUCGCGUCCGAUUAGCUAGUUGGUGAGGUAACGGCCCACCAAGGCGACGAUCGGUAGCCGGACUGAGAGGUUGAACGGCCACAUUGGGACUGAGACACGGCCCAGACUCCUACGGGAGGCAGCAGUGGGGAAUAUUGCACAAUGGGGGAAACCCUGAUGCAGCGACGCCGCGUGGAGGAAGAAGGUCUUCGGAUUGUAAACUCCUGUUGUUGAGGAAGAUAAUGACGGUACU
RNAcentral lists this ribosomal RNA (438 nucleotides) under uncultured bacterium. RNAcentral describes it as "bacterial SSU rRNA". It matches the Rfam family "Bacterial small subunit ribosomal RNA", at positions 28 to 479 of the family's 1533-position model. The record is from RNAcentral.